This is a long non-coding RNA of Melanotaenia boesemani (Boeseman's rainbowfish), 236 nucleotides long. RefSeq lists it as uncharacterized. NCBI's taxonomy places the organism in Eukaryota, Metazoa, Chordata, Actinopteri, Atheriniformes, Melanotaeniidae. The transcript has 3 exons. The record is from RefSeq and is a predicted model, not a curated record.
CGUGUUUAAGGUAUGGCUCCACUGUGUUUAAGGUAUGGCUCCACCGUGUUUAAGGUAUGGCUUCCCCGUGUUUAAGGUAUGACUCCACUGUGUUUAAGGUAUGGCUCCACUGUGUUUAAGGUAUGGCUCCACCGUGUUUAAGGUAUGGCUUCCCCGUGUUUAAGGUAUGGCUCCACCGUGUUUAAGGUAUGGCUCCCCCGUGUUUAAGGUAUGGCUCCACCUUGUUUAAGGUAUGG